UGCUACGGUGAAUACGUUCCCGGGCCUUGUACACACCGCCCGUCAAACAAUGGAAGUUGGGGUACCUAAAGUCGAGUAACCGCAAGGAGUCGCCUAGGGUAAAACCGAUAACUGGUGUU
Molecule: ribosomal RNA, 119 nt
Filed under: uncultured bacterium
Lineage: Bacteria
Description: partial 16S ribosomal RNA
Rfam family: Bacterial small subunit ribosomal RNA
Source: RNAcentral